Astatotilapia calliptera (eastern happy) is the source of this 1426-nucleotide long non-coding RNA. NCBI's taxonomy places the organism in Eukaryota, Metazoa, Chordata, Actinopteri, Cichliformes, Cichlidae. The record is from Ensembl.
GAAUUCUGUCUCUAUCCACCCAUCACAUGGGAUUUCACCACCAUUAGCCGCUAAAACUACUAGAGUUUCUGUUCUCAAAAGCUCAGCAAGUGGCCUGACAGUGCUGUGUGAGCAUCAAACCUAAGAAUCCUUAAAGAUCUACAUCGGCAUCCGCAAGAAGCUGAAGGCUCCAACCAGCUCCUCCCACCCUCAGCACUCCCUUUGGGCCUCUGAGCCCCUUCGUUCCCCUCCCAUUGCUCAAUGCAGCUGAUCAGGUACCCCUCGCAGAUUGCAGGGAAUCACCGUCACUGUUUGAGAGUUGUAGCUGGAGGGUGAAGGCUCACAGCGCGUCCAUCAUAGAGACAUGGUGUCUCAGUCCUCAGACUGGAGAGACCACCUGCAGCAGGAGAAAGAGAUGCUGAUGGAGGAGGUCAAAGCUAAGAAGGUGAUCAGUCGUUCGGUAAUCAUAAAACUUUAUUGAUCCCUGCUGCCACAGAAAAUAGUCACAAACACACCGCCUGCUGCAGGAGCCGGUGUGGAUCCUCCACAAAGCGCUGGAGGCGGCUUAGCUGGAGAAGUGAGUCCGCGCCGAGUUUUUGGCAGAGGAGGAACGUCUGGAGCUGCUGCGACACCGCGAGUGACAGGUGGCCGACCUGUGGGGUGGCUGGACGAGGCCAAGAUGGAGGUGGAGGCGGUGAGGAAGAGUCUGGCUGAGAAGGCCACGCAGGUCACUGAGCUGCAGCAGAACAUCAGGAUGCUGAUGGAGAAGAACAACGCCAAGCAGGAGGUGAGGACAAACCAGAGGUCGCUGUCAGACUGACCUCUGGUUUGUCAUGUUAAAGUAACCUGCUCACGUUUGUUUCCAUGACUGAAAGUUUCCCUGAGAUCUGGGGCUGUUCCUGGAGCUGCUGCUGACUCAGGAAAAAACUGAGCAUGGGUGGAUGUUGAGACAGAGGGCCUCUCCCGUGCAUUCAACACUCCAUCUAAAUGACCAGCCCAGAUGAUGGAUGUGGCAUGUUAUUCAGUGGAAAACUGAGAAUCGUAGCCAAAAGAAAAAAGUGGAAUACUUGAGGAAGAUCACGGAGCAAAAGGCUCAUUGAGUGAGAGCAGUGGGCAGGUUGGUGUUCUGCACCAUUUAGUUAGGUCUCUUCAGAGGUGUUUAAAAAAAAUUUUUUCUAAGGUUUUCAGUAGUUUCCAUCCAUGAGUGAUUUGAAUUAAAACUGUGAAGAAAUCCUCCAAUAUGUGUCACAAAUCUUCAUUUAAAUGUCCUAUGAUUUACCAUGAAAUUGAGACAGUACUGAUCCAGUGGCAUUGGCUCCACACAGUGGAGAGUUGUAGUAAUGUCUAGAAAGUUCAUUGACUCAGAAAUAAACACACAUUGAACACCAGCCCAAAGACACUUUGCUCAGGGACUCCAUGCUGUCCUCAGUCCAUUCAUGAACUCCUC